UGAACAGCAGGUACCCGAAGGUCAUCCUCCGACGCAUUGAUGAUCACCCACCCAACAAAGUCGCUGGAAAGAUCCAAGCUCAGAGGAAAAUGAGAAAAACGACAUGCGCAUUUUUUACAAGACAUACUACUCAGGUUUCCAGUGGGUAAACAAUCCAACUCAGAGUUAGCAGCACGGUAAAUAAUACCCACACGAAGCAUGCCGAUCGAGGAAAUACAUCCAGAUUAACGAGAGACAACGCUCGGUGUGAAUGAUUGAAUUGUAACGUCAUAUGCGAUGAU
Long non-coding RNA from Haliotis rubra (blacklip abalone), 281 nucleotides. RefSeq lists it as uncharacterized. The record is from RefSeq and is a predicted model, not a curated record. The transcript is spliced from 3 exons. NCBI's taxonomy places the organism in Eukaryota, Metazoa, Mollusca, Gastropoda, Lepetellida, Haliotidae.